RNAcentral lists this long non-coding RNA (5397 nucleotides) under Olea europaea subsp. europaea. Lineage: Eukaryota; Viridiplantae; Streptophyta; Magnoliopsida; Lamiales; Oleaceae. The record is from RNAcentral.
CAGUUCACGAUCUCUUGAUAGACUCAACGAGAGCUCCUCGAAUAGCAAAACAAAUUGAACCAUUAGACGAGCAUGGGUUGUGCAUAAGAAGGCAAAUUUAGGAUUUCUUUGCAAAUGAAUGAAAAGAAAAAUGAGAGUGAGAAGACAAAACGAUUCAGAGGCACAAAAAAAGAGAAACAUAAGAAUAAAUUUAAGGUUGAGAAAACAAAAGGUUUCAGAUGACAACAGUAAACGGGUAUGAUUUUAGUGUAAUGCUACUCAACCACCCCGCAUGACACUCGGCUUGACCACAUGAGGUGGAAAGUUUGUUGAAAAAAGAAACAAAACAAUAAAAAAGAAAGGGGCACUUAUUUCAAUCCGUUCACACCUUCGAUCGGAUCAUACCCAUAAUUGGACCAUUUUUCUUCAAUUUUUAGCGGGCAAACUGGGCAAGAUGAUUCUAGGGCAAAUUUGGUGCUAUCUUCAUUUCCAGUGGCUUGAAACCCGACUGCAUCUCCUUCUCUCCUGUGAUUGAAGCGGGGAUAUCCAUUUUCGGUGGUUUGAAGAUAAACCCAUUUGCAUCUCUCUUGUGUUUUUUUUUACCAUAGUUUUGCAAAGGUAGCAGCCUCAGCAAGAGCUACAAAAGUGAGCACGAAAUUGCUUCCACCGAAUAAUCAAUAGCAAGGAUCGAAAGAAGUGUAUUUGCUACUACAAGUGGCGGUUCUUUGUUGAGUAAAUAUGUAGAGAUAAACAUAUCAAUUCUAGGAAGGUUGAAUAAUUGUUUUGGGUUCCAAAGAUUUGGUUCAAAGGAUUCCAACCGCUCUUUCAAGGCUGAGAGGCUAGUCAAUCUCUUCCUGGGACAAAUUGUUAGCAGUCGAUAAAGAACCCAAGAUAGUGCAAACCCAUCUUGAAAACUCCCAUAUUCUGUGGCUUGAAGUGCUUUCAAGGGAGUGAGAAUCAUAACAAAUUUCGGGUUUCUUCAAGAAACGUAAGUAGUUGCAUCUGUUCCACUACCGUGUCUUCGUAUUUACAAAUGAACAUGAAGGAUUAUUGAGAAUUUUCACUAAUUUAUUAAUUUAUUGUUCUUACACCGUUCUCCAGCGACGUCGAAAAUAGGGGAAAAGCUUGCAUUACGUAUCUACUGCACCUAACAUCGUUCACCCGAGAGAUGACUGAAAGAGGUAUUAGUUUGCAUUGGUUUAAUGAUUUUGCAGUUUUUGGUGUAAGAUUUCUACUGUUUUGCAAUAGUAUGACUUUAUGACUCUAGUGUAAUAUUUAGGGGAUUGGUUGUGUGAUUAGCUCAGGUGGUUUUUUUUUUUUAAUUUUUAAUUUUUUUCAUUUCAGCUAUAGUUAUUGCAUACUUUUAAUUUUGAAUUAUCGUUAGAAAAAUUGUUUUAUUGCUGUACAUUAUUCGACAUUGUAAUUGAUUUGUUUGUUGCAGGGAAAGAAAUUUUGGAAUAUGAAGAUGACAUUAUAUCGGUGGAGUCCGAUGGUGAAAAUGUUGUGGAUAAUACGAGCAUACCGGGUGAUGAUAUGUUAGUUGGAGAUGGUGUGAUUACGCCCGAGGUCGGUAUGAAUUUAAGGAUGCAAAUGAAACGUUCGAGUUUUACAAGAGAUAUGCAUACAAAAUUGGUUUCCCAGUUAGAAAAAGAAAUUCGAGAAAGGAUGAUGAUGGAGUAUUGAGAAAUAUUACAUUUGCUUGUAGUCGUGAAGGGAAAAGAAUUAUAAAUACAAGCGGUUCUUUAAAGCCGCAAGCAACCAUUUAGAGUGGAUGUAAAGCCAGGAUCACUGGAUGUUCAGAUAUUUAUGGAGUAAGGAAAAUUAACACAGUACACCUGGAUCACAAUCACAAGACAAGCCCUUUGAAAUCUAGGCUAUAUCGAUACAACCGAGAGUUGAGCGCACAUGUGAAACGAUGACUUGAAGUAAAUGACAUGGCAGAAAUUCUGCUACACAAGAGUUACAACUCUACAGAUGUUGAAGCUGGUGGAUAUGAAAAUAUGACUUACAUCGAACGGGAUUGUCGAAAAUAUGUUGAAAAAGUGAGGCGAUUACGACUUGGAGAGGGGGACGCAUUAGCAAUACAAUCAUAUUUCUCUAAAAUGCAAGCACGAUGCUCAGACUUUUACUUUAGUAUGGAUUUAGAUGACGAUUUACGUCUACAGAAUGUUUUCUGGGAAAAUAAUAGGAGUAGACAGGCAUAUAAGGAGUUCGGUGACGUUGUUACGUUCGACACUACGUACCUCACCAAUAAAUAUGAUAUGUCAUUUGCCCCUUUUUUUGGAGUGAACUACCAUGGACAGUCGACACUCCUUAGAUGUGGUUUGGUGUUGAAUGAGGAUACAGAGUCAUUUGUGUGGCUAUUUCGGAUAUGACUACAAUGUAUGCAUGGACAAGCUCCACAUGGGAUAAUUACAGACCAGGAUAGGGCUAUACAAAAUGCAAUACAAAUUGUGUUCCAUAAUACAAAACAUAGAUGGUGCUUAUGGCACAUACUUAAAAAAUUGUUUGAAAAGUUUGGAUACCAUGAGGAUAAGGGUUCCAUAUUUAGUAAUAUACACAGUUUGGUCUAUGAUUGUCAAUAUGCGGAAGAAUUUGAAAAUGGCUGGAAAGUGAUGAUCGAAACGUUUAACUUGUCUGAUAAUGAAUGGCUGGCGGGUUUGUAUAAGAAUAGGGGACGUUAGGUAUCUUGCUUUUUGAAAACCACAUUUUGGGUAGGUAUGUCAGCAACUCGACGCAUUGAGAGUAUGAAUACAUUUUUUGAUGGUUAUGUACAUUUGAAGACAAUAUUGAAGCAAUUUGUUGAACAAUACGAACGGGCAUUGAGAAGUAAGGUUGAGAAAGAAUUUCAAGCGGACUUCAAGUCCUUCUCGCAAAUGGUGCCGUGUGCAACAAGAUAUGAAAUGGAGAAACAAUUCCAAGCAGUUUACACAAUUUCAAAAUUCAAGGAAGUUCAAAAGGAGUUCACAGGUAAGGUUUAUUGCGACCUCAUAUCUGUUUCGGAGGGACUAUCGGGGAUGACUUAUGAGAUACAAGAAGACGUAAUGCAUGACGGUUCGAAGAAAAAAACCUUUUUCGUCUCAUCUCAAAGAGACAAAUGUGAAAUCACUUACAGUUGUCACAAUUUUGAGUUUCGAGGGAUUAUUUGCAGACAUACUAUUGAAGUAUUGGUCUGUAAUGAUAUCAAAUCAGUUCCAGAAAGGUAUAUAAUACGGAGAUGGCGGCGAGAUGUCAGUAGAGCCCACACGAGGGUAGCAGAGCAUUAUGAUGGUAUGGUUAGUUCUCCCGAACAAUUGAUGUACGACAAAAUGUGUCAACGUUUUGCUACAUUGGCGAACAUGACGAUAGACGAUGAAGUCAAAUCCAAUGUCAUAAUUGAGUGGAUUGAUAGUCAAUGUAAACAAGUGAUGACGUUGAAGUCAAGUACUAGUAGUAAUAUCUUGUCCCCGCAUAUUACUCAAACAUCAUCCGAGUGUAGAGCAUCACUGGAUAUUGGAGGCGGUAGCAUCAGGGAUCUAUAAUGUGCGAAAAGAAAAGGUGCCCCUAGGAAACUUCGGAAGAAGAGCCAAUUGGAAUUGAAUAUGAACAGAGUUAAGGUAAUGCCCAUAUUUUGGUACCCAAAUGUUGUAAAGUUAUUGUAGAGAUAAUGUCUAAUACCAUUCCUUGUUUUGUAGCCAACUUCGAGUUCAACGAAGGGAAAGAAACCGAAGGUAAGCAAGUAGUACGGGAAAUGAUGCACCCAUCUUUCAGUCACCUCAUCAAUUACACAUGCAGCUACCUUUCUCAUAUACGCAUCUCCUUAUGGUUAGUACUUAGCUUAUGGUUUAAUUGCAACGAAAAUAUAAGAUGUGCUGAUAAUGUUAUUUCAUGUAGGGUGGCAACCUAAAUCUUCAAUUCAUACAACACUUACAGUCCACAUGUGUCAACCCUCCAUCCUCAACAUAUCUUUUAUUCAACAUGCAAGGUAACAUAGUUGUUAGAUAGAACAUAAUAGUUUACAAACAUUAUUCAUUACGUACAUUCAUUACUAUAUAAUAAACAACCUUAAGUGAAGUUGACAUAUGAAGGUAUGGCUACAAGACAUAUGAAUGAUGUUGUUGACAAUGAAACACGACAGUUAGAUAAUCACCUUGAUGGUGGAAACAUCAUCAAUCCCAAUAUAUGAGCUCUCGGCUGUGCUGUAACCAUAUGAAGUGAGUAAUUAUUUGCCAUAUAACUUCGUAGCAACGUGGAUAUUAUUCCACAAUGUGUCCAUUUUUUGCUAUUUUUGAUGUUUACAAUUAUAAUCAUGCAAUGGAUUGGAGAGUUUUCACUUUCUGUUUUGGAGGUUGGAAUCUUCAGGUCGUGUUACUUGGCUACUAUUGAUAAUUACUUUGUUAUUUUUUUUAAUUUUAUUUUACACUCAACUAUCGUGAGGCUCCAGAUGUGCGAGUUUCUUUUGAUUUGACAUCUUACAAGUGGCAGAUGCGUGCUUGCAUUUGUUGUCCUCAAAAUUCUUAUGGACUAUGAUUGUUUACGCUCCAGAUUUGCAGCAUUCAGUCCUACUAGCUCUAUAGUUUUAGCUUCCCAAUCCUUUUGGUUGAUUAGUUUAGUUAGAACUUAGAAUGUUGUUGUCCUAAUAUAUAUCAUAGCGUUGUUUUAAGACUUGUGAUUUUGUCUCUAUGUAUAUUAUAUGGAUAAGUAAGUGCAGCAUUUCUGUUAAAAUUAGUGUGAAUUUAUCAUUGAUUGGUAUUUGACAUUUCAUGUCUUCAAGCUGAUGUUUUUUCUAAUUUGCUAUUGUUUAACAAGCUUUCUCAUAUUCGUGGUUAGCCUUGUUGAACUUGAAACUUACCCUCGGUCACUUUUACCUGAAAGGUAAUUUGAGAUUUGGAUAUAAAGGUGGUUUUGGGUUUAUCGAUUUUGGGUUUAUCAGAUGUGUCUAGUGGAUUUUGUGUUUUAUUAAAUGGCUAGGAACAGUUAUCAAGAAAUGUUUUGUGAGACCUUGUUUUAGAAGAUUGCAUUGUGAACAACUCUGAGUAAGAGCAGGGAGUUUACAAGGAGCUGUGGAGAUCAUUACUAAUUGUGGGGAUGAAGAGUUGAAGGAAUUCUUGUCUAAGAAGAAUGAAUCAGGCGAAAUCAUGCUUUAUGUUGCUGCAGAAAGUGGUCGUAUUGGUUACUGCAUAGUCUGUUCCAUUUGCUUGAUUUUGUGAUCUAUCAACCUUGAAAAUCUGAUAUUAUUUAAUUAUGUUUCGGAUAUUAAUUACUUUUACUACCAUUUUACUCUUGGAAAUUUCAGCAAGAAUGAAGAAGAAAAAAGCUAGUUAUUUUUCUCUUUGAUUUCAAUGCCAAGCGGCUGUGAUUGUUCGGGUAUCUUGAUGAACUGUAAAUAGCUUGUGAGCUUAGCCUAUCUGGAUAAGCUUAUAAAAAUUACUUGUGAAG